Molecule: non-coding RNA, 166 nt
Organism: Camponotus floridanus (Florida carpenter ant)
Lineage: Eukaryota; Metazoa; Arthropoda; Insecta; Hymenoptera; Formicidae
Source: Rfam
AUACUUACCUGGCGUAGAGGCUACCGUGAUCAACAAGGCGGUUCCUCCAGGGAGAGGCCUUUUACCAUUGCACUACGGUUUAAGGCUGACCUCUGCGAAUGUCCCUAAUGUGGAUAUCUCGGACGUACAAUUUUUGUUAGCCGGGACUGCGUUCGCGCUCUCCCGU